UACAGAGGUCUCAAGCGUUGUUCGGAUUCAUUGGGCGUAAAGGGUGCGUAGGCGGCGCGGUAAGUCGGGUGUGAAAUCUUGGAGCUUAACUCCGAAACUGCAUUCGAUACUGCCGUGCUUGAGGACUGGAGAGGAGACUGGAAUUUACGGUGUAGCGGUGAAAUGCGUAGAUAUCGCAAGGAAGACCAGUGGCGAAGGCGGGUCUCUGGACAGUUCCUGACGCUGAGGCACGAAGGCCAGGGGAGCAAACGGG
Molecule: ribosomal RNA, 253 nt
Filed under: uncultured bacterium
Lineage: Bacteria
Description: partial 16S ribosomal RNA
Rfam family: Bacterial small subunit ribosomal RNA
Source: RNAcentral